CCAAAAAGAGAGAGAACAAAAGAAAUUUACUUUAUCAUUCAGCGUGACCUAAUACUCAUGACUACCCUGAUCUUCAAUCUUGGCCGUUGGGUUUGAGACAAGCAAUGCCUAGGAACCGUUAGAUUAUUCAUUGAAAACUUUGAAUACCUAUUGUUGUUGUUUUUUUCUUUCCAAGGUUUUAAGCUUUGCACUUCAAUGCAUUUUAUGUACAAACAAGAUAUCUCCGCG
This 228-nucleotide long non-coding RNA is filed under the name Trifolium pratense (red clover). RNAcentral describes it as "long non-coding RNA (TPRA_LNC005649)". The record is from RNAcentral. Lineage: Eukaryota; Viridiplantae; Streptophyta; Magnoliopsida; Fabales; Fabaceae.